GCCAGCAGCCAUAUCAUCCUACAACUCCCAGCUGGCAGCUCACUGGAGCCCAGCAGGUAUGAGCCUGGUCAGUACCUGGAGAGGAGACUCCUGGGAAAGCUAAGGCUGCUGCUGGUA
RNAcentral lists this ribosomal RNA (117 nucleotides) under Lepisosteus oculatus (spotted gar). Lineage: Eukaryota; Metazoa; Chordata; Actinopteri; Semionotiformes; Lepisosteidae. The record is from RNAcentral.